UCCGGCAACUUCCGGGCGGCGGAGCUCUGCCCCUCCUUUCUUUUCUCUAGGUCAGGUCUCCUUCUGGCUGCGCUGGACCUGCGCACGCGGGGGACUUCUGCGUCCGGCCCUCCAGCCUCCCGCAGCGUCCCGCAGCGCCCUGGCGGGCAGCAGCCUAGGUGGUAGCGGCGCGCUUGGUGCUCGGCGCCAGCACCUGCUACUGCCAUCUACAGGCUGAGGCGGGGCCCGCGGCGAGGCGGCCGGGGGCAUCGGCUGAGCCCCUCUGGAUCUGCAGGCUCUGUUACUGUCAAGGUCCCAUCUUCUCCUCAAACCUAUUUACAGUUAUCAGGAAAAGAGGUUGAUAUGAACCCAGAAGUCAAUGUUCAGGAAGUGGCUGAAGAUGAUAAAGAUGAUGGUGUAACAAUUAUUGGCCACAUGAAUCAAGCAAAGAGAUGUGAAAACUGGAUUAAUGCUACUGCCCCAGAAAGCAUUGUACGUUUCAGAAAUCAAACCUGGUUUCAGUCCCUGAAACUGCAGAACUAAAGCAUUUGAGUUCUUAUUUAUGUUUGUA
This is a long non-coding RNA of Perognathus longimembris pacificus (Pacific pocket mouse), 550 nucleotides long. RefSeq lists it as uncharacterized. NCBI's taxonomy places the organism in Eukaryota, Metazoa, Chordata, Mammalia, Rodentia, Heteromyidae. The transcript is spliced from 3 exons. The record is from RefSeq and is a predicted model, not a curated record.